GAAGAAGCGCAUACGGUGGAUGCCUUGGCAGUCAGAGGCGAUGAAAGACGUGGUAGCCUGCGAUAAGCUUCGGGGAGUCGGCAAACAGACUUUGGAUCCGGAGAUCUCUGAAUGGGGAAACCCACCUGGGAUAACCUAGGUAUCUUGUACUGAAUCCAUAGGUGCAAGAGGCGAACCAGGGGAACUGAAACAUCUAAGUACCCUGAGGAAAAGAAAUCAAC
RNAcentral lists this ribosomal RNA (221 nucleotides) under Pseudomonas sp. ATCC 13867. RNAcentral describes it as "partial 23S ribosomal RNA". It matches the Rfam family "Bacterial large subunit ribosomal RNA", at positions 1 to 229 of the family's 2925-position model. The record is from RNAcentral. Lineage: Bacteria; Pseudomonadati; Pseudomonadota; Gammaproteobacteria; Pseudomonadales; Pseudomonadaceae.